GACGAACGCUGGCGGCGUGCUUAACACAUGCAAGUCGAACGAUGAAGCUGGAGCUUGCUCCGGUGGAUUAGUGGCGAACGGGUGAGUAACACGUGAGCAAUCUGCCCUUCACUCUGGGAUAACUGCGGGAAACUGUAGCUAAUACCGGAUACGAGGCUUGGAGGCAUCUCCAGGUCUGGAAAGAAUUUCGGUGAAGGAUGAGCUCGCGGCCUAUCAGCUUGUUGGUGAGGUAAUGGCUCACCAAGGCGGCGACGGGUAGCCGGCCUGAGAGGGUGACCGGCCACACGGGGACUGAGACACGGCCCAGACUCCUACGGGAGGCAGCAGUGGGGAAUAUUGCACAAUGGGCGAAAGCCUGAUGCAGCAACGCCGCGUGAGGGAUGAAGGCCUUCGGGUUGUAAACCUCUUUUAGCAGGGAAGAAGCGAAAGUGACGGUACCUGCAGAAAAAGCACCGGCUAACUACGUGCCAGCAGCCGCCGUAA
This 483-nucleotide ribosomal RNA is filed under the name uncultured bacterium. Its description in RNAcentral is "partial 16S ribosomal RNA". It matches the Rfam family "Bacterial small subunit ribosomal RNA", at positions 28 to 523 of the family's 1533-position model. The record is from RNAcentral.